AAUACUUAGGAAUCUACCUAUUAAUGGGGGACAACAUUUCGAAAGGAAUGCUAAUACCGCAUACGCCCUACGGGGGAAAGCAGGGGAUCUUCGGACCUUGCGUUAAUAGAUGAGCCUAAGUCGGAUUAGCUAGUUGGUGGGGUAAAGGCCUACCAAGGCGACGAUCUGUAGCGGGUCUGAGAGGAUGAUCCGCCACACUGGGACUGAGACACGGCCCAGACUCCUACGGGAGGCAGCAGUGGGGAAUAUUGGACAAUGGGCGAAAGCCUGAUCCAGCCAUGCCGCGUGUGUGAAGAAGGUCUUCGGAUUGUAAAGCACUUUAAGUUGGGAGGAAGGGUAGUAACCUAAUACGUUGCUACUUUGACGUUACCGACAGAAUAAGCACCGGCUAACUUCGUGCCAGCAGCCGCGGUAAUACGAAGGGUGCAAGCGUUAAUCGGAAUUACUGGGCGUAAAGCGCGCGUAGGUGGUUCAGCAAGUUGGAUGUGAAAGCCCUGGGCUCAACCUGGGAACUGCAUCCAAAACUACUGAGCUAGAGUACGGUAGAGGGUAGUGGAAUUUCCUGUGUAGCGGUGAAAUGCGUAGAUAUAGGAAGG
This 596-nucleotide ribosomal RNA is filed under the name uncultured bacterium. RNAcentral describes it as "bacterial SSU rRNA". It matches the Rfam family "Bacterial small subunit ribosomal RNA", at positions 112 to 704 of the family's 1533-position model. The record is from RNAcentral.